UAUAUUUUUUAGAGAUAAAGGCCAAUCGAAAGGUCUGAGACGACCCAAAAAGCACUUAAUCAUGAUCACCUUUUAGGCCUACUUGGGUAUUGAGCAUUUACCUGUAAGAAUGAAUUCCUUGCAAUGGAUAAUUAAUUGCAACUCUGGAAAAAGGAAUCCAGUCAAUUUUUUAUUACAUAAUAUUACAUAAAAUCAUUCAUAUAUGUGUAGACAUGGCUAACAUUUUCCAUUUUAUAAGAUC
This 241-nucleotide long non-coding RNA is filed under the name Ricinus communis (castor bean). RNAcentral's name for it is "long non-coding RNA (RCOM_LNC000973)". The record is from RNAcentral. Lineage: Eukaryota; Viridiplantae; Streptophyta; Magnoliopsida; Malpighiales; Euphorbiaceae.